This is a non-coding RNA of Marchantia paleacea, 76 nucleotides long. The record is from the annotation of a GenBank genome assembly. NCBI's taxonomy places the organism in Eukaryota, Viridiplantae, Streptophyta, Marchantiopsida, Marchantiales, Marchantiaceae.
UAAGGUCCAGUAGCUCAAUGCCAGAGCCAUUUCAUCUUGAAAUUUGGGUUGCAGGUUCAAGUCCUGUCUGGAUCAA